AUCUUCGGCAAUGGGCGAAAGCCUGACCGAGCGACGCCGCGUGAGCGAUGAAGGCCAUUAGGUUGUAAAGCUCUGUCGAGGGGGAACAAGCCGCAAGGUUGAGUGAUCCCUGGAGGAAGCACGGGCUAAGUUCGUGCCAGCAGCCGCGGUAAGACGAACCGUGCGAACGUUGUUCGGAAUCAUUGGGCUUAAAGGGCGCGUAGGCGGGUGUUCAAGUCCGGGGUGAAAGCCUCCAGCUCAACUGGAGAAGAGCCCCGGAUACUGUUCACCUGGAGAGAGAUAGGGGCACAUGGAACUUCCGGUGGAGCGGUGAAAUGCGUAGAGAUCGGAAGGAACGCCGGUGGCGAAAGCGAUGUGCUGGAUCUUUUCUGACGCCGAGGCGCGAAAGCUAGGGGAGCAAACGGGAUUAGAUACCCCGGUAGUCCUAGCCCUAAACGAUGGGUACUGGGUUGCGGGUCAGACAUAGACUCGCAGCCGAAGCAAAAGUGUUAAGUACCCCGCCUGGGGAGUAUGGUCGCAAGGCUGAAACUCAAAGGAA
Molecule: ribosomal RNA, 538 nt
Filed under: uncultured bacterium
Lineage: Bacteria
Description: bacterial SSU rRNA
Rfam family: Bacterial small subunit ribosomal RNA
Source: RNAcentral